Molecule: unclassified non-coding RNA, 250 nt
Filed under: plant metagenome
Description: partial contains small subunit ribosomal RNA, internal transcribed spacer 1, and 5.8S ribosomal RNA
Source: RNAcentral
GUAGGUGAACCUGCGGAAGGAUCAUUAUUAGUUUCUACUUCACUCUCAGAGAGUGAAGCUACUACAGAGCUCACAAUUCGGGCCCUCAGCAUAUAUAUGUGUAUGAGGUCUCAAUUGUUACUUUGAACCCAUUGUGAACCAUUUAUCUUUUGCUUCGGCAGCACUGUUUGCGGAAAACUGCUUGCAGGUAAGGCUGUCAGAAGCUCAUAACAAAACAUGUUGAUGAAAUGUCAUGCUGUCUGAUGCACUU